CCUACGGGAGGCAGCAGUGAGGAAUAUUUGUCAAUGGACGAGAGUCUGAACCAGCCAAGUAGCGUGAAGGAUGACUGCCCUAUGGGUUGUAAACUUCUUUUAUAUGGGAAUAAAAUGUUCCACGUGUGGGAUUUUGUAUGUACCAUAUGAAUACGGAUCGGCUAACUCCGUGCCAGCAGCCGCGGUAAUACGGAGGAUCCGAGCGUUAUCCGGAUUUAUUGGGUUUAAAGGGAGCGUAGGUGGAUUGUUAAGUCAGUUGUGAAAGUUUGCGGCUCAACCGUAAAAUUGCAGUUGAAACUGGCAGUCGUGAGUACAGUAGAGGUGGGCGGAAUUCGUGGUGUAGCGGUGAAAUGCUUAGAUAUCACGAAGAACUCCGAUUGCGAAGGCAGCUCACUGGACUGCAACUGACACUGAGGCUCGAAAGUGUGGGUAUCAAACAGGAUUAGAUACCCUUGUAGUC
This 460-nucleotide ribosomal RNA is filed under the name uncultured bacterium. Its description in RNAcentral is "partial 16S ribosomal RNA". It matches the Rfam family "Bacterial small subunit ribosomal RNA", at positions 338 to 795 of the family's 1533-position model. The record is from RNAcentral.